Molecule: ribosomal RNA, 465 nt
Filed under: Vreelandella stevensii
Lineage: Bacteria; Pseudomonadati; Pseudomonadota; Gammaproteobacteria; Oceanospirillales; Halomonadaceae
Description: partial 16S ribosomal RNA
Rfam family: Bacterial small subunit ribosomal RNA
Source: RNAcentral
CCUACGGGGGGCUGCAGUGGGGAAUAUUGGACAAUGGGGGCAACCCUGAUCCAGCCAUGCCGCGUGUGUGAAGAAGGCCCUCGGGUUGUAAAGCACUUUCAGUGAGGAAGAACGCCUGGUGGUUAAUACCCAUCAGGAAAGACAUCACUCACAGAAGAAGCACCGGCUAACUCCGUGCCAGCAGCCGCGGUAAUACGGAGGGUGCGUGCGUUAAUCGGAAUUACUGGGCGUAAAGCGCGCGUAGGUGGCUUGAUAAGCCGGUUGUGAAAGCCCCGGGCUCAACCUGGGAACGGCAUCCGGAACUGUCAAGCUAGAGUGCAGGAGAGGAAGGUAGAAUUCCCGGUGUAGCGGUGAAAUGCGUAGAGAUCGGGAGGAAUACCAGUGGCGAAGGCGGCCUUCUGGACUGACACUGACACUGAGGUGCGAAAGCGUGGGUAGCAAACAGGAUUAGAUACCCUAGUAGUC